UACAGAGAGUGCGAGCGUUAAUCGGAAUUACUGGGCGUAAAGCGCGCGUAGGCGGCUUUUCAAGUCGAUUGUGAAAUCCCCGGGCUUAACCUGGGAACUGCAGUCGAGACUGUCUAGCCAGAGUAUGGGAGAGGGAAGUGGAAUUUCAGGUGUAGCGGUGAAAUGCGUAGAUAUCUGGAGGAAUACCGGUGGCGAAGGCGGCAUCCUGGACCGACAUUGACGCUGAUGAGCGAAAGCUAGGGGAGCAAACGGG
Molecule: ribosomal RNA, 253 nt
Filed under: uncultured bacterium
Lineage: Bacteria
Description: partial 16S ribosomal RNA
Rfam family: Bacterial small subunit ribosomal RNA
Source: RNAcentral